CUAGUUGGCGGGGUAAUGGCCCACCAAGGCGAUGAUCAUUAGGGGGUCUGAGAGGAUGAUCCCCCACACUGGUACUGAGAUACGGACCAGACUCCUACGGGAGGCAGCAGUAGGGAAUAUUGGACAAUGGGCGAGAGCCUGAUCCAGCCAUGCCGCGUGCAGGAAGAAGGCCCUCUGGGUUGUAAACUGCUUUUGACUAGGGCCAAAAUGACCAUGCGUGGUAAAUUGAGAGUACUAGUAGAAUAAGCACCGGCUAACUCCGUGCCAGCAGCCGCGGUAAUACGGAGGGUGCAAGCGUUGUCCGGAUUUAUUGGGUUUAAAGGGUGCGUAGGUGGCCUUAUAAGUCAGUGGUGAAAGCCUGCAGCUUAACUGUAGGACUGCCAUUGAUACUGUAGGGCUUGAGUACUGAUGAGGUAGGCGGAAUUGAUAGUGUAGCGGUGAAAUGCAUAGAUAUUAUCAAGAACACCGAUUGCGAAGGCAGCUUACUAAGGAGUUACUGACACUGAGGCACGAAAGCGUGGGGAUCAAACAGGAUUAGAUACCCUGGUAGUCCACGCCAUAAACGAUGAUUACUCGAUGUAUGCGAUAGACAGUAUGCGUCCAAGCGAAAGCGUUAAGUAAUCCACCUGGGGAGUACGACCGCAAGGUUGAAACUCAAAGGAAUUGACG
Molecule: ribosomal RNA, 669 nt
Filed under: uncultured Bacteroidota bacterium
Lineage: Bacteria; Pseudomonadati; Bacteroidota
Description: SSU rRNA
Rfam family: Bacterial small subunit ribosomal RNA
Source: RNAcentral